GCAAACACACCUUUAGACGGAAAGUGAAACGAAAAAAUAAAAACAAAAACGGUGGAAAAACGGGAAUUCUUCCCUCCAUUUAGCUGCUGAUGCAAGUGAUUCUUUCAACAUUUAUCAUUUUUUCCAUUGACUUAUUCUUUUUUUACGAAAAAAAAAAAAAAAGGAUGGACGGAACCUUAAAAAACCCUCCGUUUUUUUUUCCUCUUUGUAAUUCAAAACUUAUGACCAUUUUUGCAAAAAAAAA
Molecule: non-coding RNA, 244 nt
Filed under: Chloropicon mariensis
Lineage: Eukaryota; Viridiplantae; Chlorophyta; Chloropicophyceae; Chloropicales; Chloropicaceae
Source: RNAcentral